Molecule: long non-coding RNA, 683 nt
Filed under: Mus spicilegus (steppe mouse)
Lineage: Eukaryota; Metazoa; Chordata; Mammalia; Rodentia; Muridae
Description: lncRNA (ENSMSIG00000009498.1)
Source: RNAcentral
CUCCCACUCAGAAUAAGCUGAAUUGCUUUGCAAAUAUAUGCAGAUACAUGCGAAUAACAAAGCCAUUAACAUGUGCACUAAGCCUCAAAGGAAAAGGUUUGCUUUGAUCAAAGCUCAUAAUGGGAUGUAUCCACAGGGCAGGAAAACAGCAUCCUGCUCAGCCCAAACAAGGAAUGGCUCAGACUAGGCCAGAGAGCCUUGCCUUAGAAACCAAUGUUCAUUCCCCUAUCCAGGUACGUGAUGUUUUCCUUGUACUUCCCCCUUCCCAAAGGUGGAACUGUUGUAAAUACCUUCCUCUCUGCUUUACUGCACCAAGGCUGCAAUGAAGAGUUUAAAGUGUGUGUGUGUGUGUGUGUGUUAUUUAACAGUCAUCCCUGUUUCUCAGUGUGAUUCUAGGAGGAGCAGCCUGCAGAGCCAUGAGAAUACCAAUUCUCAGGCAAACCCCUAGAACUAGUGAGGGAGACUAUGCAUGCUAUGAAGAUGUCAGGUAUCUGAAAUAUUAUGGUAAGAAGUCUGAUUUCUCAGUUUACGAGGAAGCCCAUGUGGAGAAGGGGUCUGCAAAAGGUUUAAGAGGAGAGAGAGAGAAGGAAGAAGAAGAAAAGGAAGAAGAAAGAAGGAGGAGGAGGAGGAGGAAGAAGAAGAAGAAGAAGAAGAAGAAGAAGAAGAAGAAGAAGAAGAAGAAG